Long non-coding RNA from Syzygium oleosum, 869 nucleotides. RefSeq lists it as uncharacterized. The record is from RefSeq and is a predicted model, not a curated record. Lineage: Eukaryota; Viridiplantae; Streptophyta; Magnoliopsida; Myrtales; Myrtaceae. The transcript has 2 exons.
AGUCGUGGGGCGUGUGGGUGGGUUGUUUGAGAUAAAAUUCAGUGAGUUUGGAUGAUCGUUAUGCCAAUGAUAGGCAUUAGUAUGUUACAACAAGAGAGGAGAGGGGGUCCCGCACUUCUUUUUUUCUUUUAAGUGAAUCAAUGUUUGGAUAAGUAAGAACUUCAAGUUUGGUUGGGAACGAGGUUGCUUGAUCUGGAAUAGAGUUUUGGAGGUGUGGAAAUGAGACAGUUGAUUUUCGAGUCAAUUUGGUGAUAUGAAAAUGUGCCUGCCAUUCGUAACCACAUUCAUAUUAAUGACAAUUUAAUUGGUGCAAUGCAACAUCGGCACAUAUUGAAUCUGCAGUUAAUGAUAUAUUUUUUAUGGGUUGAGGUGUAUCUUGUUGUAUGUGGUAUUAUGAUGUCAGUUUACUUUUUCCUUAAAGGUACCAAAUAAUGCUUGGUGAUGGGUUAUCAGAGUGUGAGUUCUUGUGCUAUUGCUGUGAGUAACUUAUCUCAGUCUACCAAAUGGAUGUUACAUGUUCCUGCCCCUACUUACUGCUUAUUGAUUUGGGUGAAUCUAAUAUGUGGGUGUUGGUAUUGUGAUGGUAUUUUCUGUAGAAUGACUUCAAGCAUGGGUAGUAGCACUUCUUGUACAUAAGCGCCUACAUCUACCAAUGAAGAUUCGAAUAAAUCAAUAUGGAGAUGCAUUUGACACGUUUGAAGAUGUUGGAGUGCUUGAAGUUGCGAAUUUUUUACUUGAUGUGCCGGAGAUGGAGUGCGAUGUUUUUUAGAAGAAGUGGAUAAUGUAGAUGAAUGACUUGUUAUAUUUGAUAGUGAAAUGUGGAUUGUUUUUUGUUUUUUUGACUUAUUGUUAAAUGUUGAAUUUAAUGG